GAUGAACGCUGGCGGCGUGCCUAAUACAUGCAAGUCGAGCGAACAGACGAGGAGCUUGCUCCUCUGACGUUAGCGGCGGACGGGUGAGUAACACGUGGAUAACCUCCCUAUAAGACUGGGAUAACUUCGGGAAACCGGCGCUAAUACCGUAUAAUAUAUUGAACCGUAUGGUUCAAUAGUGAAAGACGGUUUUGCUGUCACUUAUAGAUGGAUACGCGCUGCAUUAGAUAGUUGGUAAGUUAACGGCUUACCAAGGCAACGAUGCGUAGGCGACCUGAGAGGGGGAUCGGCCACACUGGAACGGGGACACGGUCCAGACGCCUACGGGAGGCAGCAGUAGGGAAUCGUCCGCAAUGGGCGAAAGCCUUGCGGAGCAACGCCGAGUGAGUGAUAAAGGUCUUCGGAUCGUAAAACUCUGUUAUUAGGGAAGAACAAAUGUGUAAGUAACUAUGCACGUCUUGACGGUACCUAAUCAGAAAGCCACGGCUAACUACGUG
RNAcentral lists this ribosomal RNA (497 nucleotides) under uncultured bacterium. Its description in RNAcentral is "partial 16S ribosomal RNA". It matches the Rfam family "Bacterial small subunit ribosomal RNA", at positions 28 to 507 of the family's 1533-position model. The record is from RNAcentral.